This 874-nucleotide long non-coding RNA is filed under the name Numida meleagris (helmeted guineafowl). Its description in RNAcentral is "lncRNA (ENSNMEG00000020014.1)". The record is from RNAcentral. Lineage: Eukaryota; Metazoa; Chordata; Aves; Galliformes; Numididae.
AGGUAAGCACCACGCGCACGCGGCGCAGCCAUGUUGCUCGGCGCGUGGCCGCGUCGGCAGGCGGUCCCGUGCCCGCGCGGGCGCUGCCUGCAGUACCGCCCGGCGGCCAGAGGAGGGCAGCAGAGACCCCGGAGCCGCUUCGGGGCUGCUUUGUGGAAACCAACCUGACAACCGGGGAAGUUUCUAAAGCAGGUACAGCAGUUGUUUAAUAGCGACUUUGGGGAAGUUUUCAGUAUCCAGUCUCCUCAUAAGGAAGAAAGAAGGUUUCUGGAGGACUGAAUCAUGAGUCGCGCUGCCGCUAAAGCUCCACUUCCAGAAAGAAAGCAUCUUUUGUGGCAUAAAGAAGCGUGGAAAGGGGAUGGAACAGCUUAUGGAGAGGUGAUGGAACAGCUUGUUCUAGAUGCCAUCUCCAAGCAAUUGGAAGAGAAGAAGGUCAUCAGAAAUAGUCAGGAUGGAUUCACCAAGGGAAAAUGGUGCUCGACCAAGCUCGUAGCCUUUUAUGAUGGCAUCACCAGCUGGAUAGAUGGGGGGAGAGCAACGGAAGUUGUCUACCUUGACUUCAGCAAGGCUUUUGAUACUGUCUCCCACGACAUCCUGAUAAGGAAGCUGAGAAAGUGUGGGAUGGAUGAGUGGACGGUGAGGUGGGUUGAGAAUAGAGCUCAUUCUACGUGGCUUUUGAGGGCUUUGCAGGUAUUGAUCUUGCAGGGGGAUCUGUCUGGCCGCAGGACCGUGGUUGGAUACAUUGAUUCCAGCAGAAGCUCAGUAAGCAGCGGCGACCUGUGCAAAGCGCUGCUCGGCAUGGACCUGUGCUGAGGUGAGUGGGGGCUCAACGUGUUGCUCCUGGUUCAUGUUCAGUGCUAACAGGAAACUCGCG